RNAcentral lists this long non-coding RNA (449 nucleotides) under Panax ginseng (ginseng). Its description in RNAcentral is "long non-coding RNA (PGIN_LNC000386)". Lineage: Eukaryota; Viridiplantae; Streptophyta; Magnoliopsida; Apiales; Araliaceae. The record is from RNAcentral.
UUUACUUAAACUCUUUUAAGAGUGGUUUCAGACAGAUAUUCUUAUGAAUUGUACUCUGUACAUCUUGCAUGUAUAAGUCGGGUACGAAAGGCUGAUCACCUUCAUUACCAGUUGGUCCAGAUAUACUAUUGUUCCUGUUCAAUACUUGUUCAGUCAAAACUUUGUUCAUGCUAAUUCACAAAUACAUUGUGAAGGAUAGCCAGCUUAUUAUUCAAACUCUUUCAAUCAUGAUAUAUCUUUACCUUGUUUUUAAACUUGCUAGGCAACUUUCAUGCUCACCCUUGCUAUAUCAUGAUAAAACAUUGCAGAUAAGGCGAAUACGGCCAGUUACAGGAAAAGGAAAAUGCCAAGUUCAGCUUGGGAUAGAAUGUGCAGCUAAUUUGUAAAAGUAUGGUUGAAGAAUAGUAUUGUUAUGUGUUAGAUAGUUUAUGAUUUAUGUAUAAGUUAAG